Molecule: ribosomal RNA, 453 nt
Filed under: uncultured bacterium
Lineage: Bacteria
Description: partial 16S ribosomal RNA
Rfam family: Bacterial small subunit ribosomal RNA
Source: RNAcentral
GAUGAACGCUGGCGGUCUGCUUAACACAUGCAAGUCGAACGGAAUCCUUCGAGAUUUAGUGGCGGACGGGUGAGUAACGCGUGAGAAUCUGCCUUCAGGUUCGGGACAACAGCUGGAAACGGCUGCUAAUACCGGAUGUGCCGAGAGGUGAAAGCUUUAGUGCCUGAAGAUGAGCUCGCGUCUGAUUAGCUAGUAGGAGUGGUAAUGGCACCCCUAGGCGACGAUCAGUAGCUGGUCUGAGAGGAUGAUCAGCCACACUGGGACUGAGACACGGCCCAGACUCCUACGGGAGGCAGCAGUGGGGAAUUUUCCGCAAUGGGCGCAAGCCUGACGGAGCAAGACCGCGUGAGGGAAGAAGGUCUGUGGAUUGUAAACCUCUUUUGAUGGGGAAGAAGACAGUGACGGUACCCAUCGAAUCAGCCUCGGCUAACUCCGUGCCAGCAGCCGCCGUAA